GAGGUGGCCGAGUGGUCGAAGGCGCUCCCCUGCUAAGGGAGUAGAGGUCAAAAGCUUCUCGUGGGUUCGAAUCCCAUCCUCUCCGCCA
Molecule: transfer RNA, 88 nt
Filed under: Mesorhizobium sp.
Lineage: Bacteria; Pseudomonadati; Pseudomonadota; Alphaproteobacteria; Hyphomicrobiales; Phyllobacteriaceae
Description: tRNA-Ser
Rfam family: tRNA
About the family: Transfer RNA (tRNA) molecules are approximately 80 nucleotides in length. Their secondary structure includes four short double-helical elements and three loops (D, anti-codon, and T loops). Further hydrogen bonds mediate the characteristic L-shaped molecular structure. tRNAs have two regions of fundamental functional importance: the anti-codon, which is responsible for specific mRNA codon recognition, and the 3' end, to which the tRNAs corresponding amino acid is attached (by aminoacyl-tRNA synthetases). tRNAs cope with the degeneracy of the genetic code in two manners: having more than one tRNA (with a specific anti-codon) for a particular amino acid; and 'wobble' base-pairing, i.e. permitting non-standard base-pairing at the 3rd anti-codon position.
Source: RNAcentral